GAUGAACGCUGGCGGCGUGCCUAAUACAUGCAAGUCGAGCGAACAGACGAGGAGCUUGCUCCUCUGACGUUAGCGGCGGACGGGUGAGUAACGCGUGGAUAACCUACCUAUAAGACUGGGAUAACUUCGGGAAACCGGAGCUAAUACCGGAUAAUAUAAUGAACCGCAUGGUUCAAUAGUGAAAGACGGUUUUGCUGUCACUUAUAGAUGGAUCCGCGCCGCAUUAGCUAGUUGGUAAGGUAACGGCUUACCAAGGCAACGAUGCGUAGCCGACCUGAGAGGGUGAUCGGCCACACUGGAACUGAGACACGGUCCAGACUCCUACGGGAGGCAGCAGUAGGGAAUCUUCCGCAAUGGGCGAAAGCCUGACGGAGCAACGCCGCGUGAGUGAUGAAGGUCUUCGGAUCGUAAAACUCUGUUAUUAGGGAAGAACAAAUGUGUAAGUAACUAUGCACGUCUUGACGGUACCUAAUCAGAAAGCCACGGCUAACUACGUG
Molecule: ribosomal RNA, 497 nt
Filed under: uncultured bacterium
Lineage: Bacteria
Description: partial 16S ribosomal RNA
Rfam family: Bacterial small subunit ribosomal RNA
Source: RNAcentral